UAGGGAAUCUUCCGCAAUGGGCGAAAGCCUGACGGAGCAACGCCGCGUGAGUGAUGAAGGUCUUCGGAUCGUAAAACUCUGUUAUUAGGGAAGAACAAAUGUGUAAGUAACUAUGCACGUCUUGACGGUACCUAAUCAGAAAGCCACGGCUAACUACGUGCCAGCAGCCGCGGUAAUACGUAGGUGGCAAGCGUUAUCCGGAAUUAUUGGGCGUAAAGCGCGCGUAGGCGGUUUUUUAAGUCUGAUGUAAAAGCCCACGGCUCAACCGUGGAAGGUCAUUGGAAACUGGAAAACUUGAGUGCAGAAGAGGAAAGUGGAAUUCCAUGUGUAGCGGUGAAAUGCGCAGAGAUAUGGAGGAACACCAGUGGCGAAGGCGACUUUCUGGUCUGUAACUGACGCUGAUGUGCGAAAGCGUGGGGAUCAAACAGG
This 429-nucleotide ribosomal RNA is filed under the name Actinomycetes bacterium. Its description in RNAcentral is "Actinobacteria bacterium partial 16S ribosomal RNA". It matches the Rfam family "Bacterial small subunit ribosomal RNA", at positions 355 to 776 of the family's 1533-position model. The record is from RNAcentral. Lineage: Bacteria; Bacillati; Actinomycetota; Actinomycetes.